GUAGGGUGCGAGCGUUAAUCGGAAUUACUGGGCGUAAAGCGUGCGCAGGCGGUUUUGUAAGACAGGCGUGAAAUCCCCGGGCUCAACCUGGGAACUGCGCUUGUGACUGCAAGGCUAGAGUACGGCAGAGGGGGGUGGAAUUCCACGUGUAGCAGUGAAAUGCGUAGAGAUGUGGAGGAACACCAAUGGCGAAGGCAGCCCCCUGGGUCGAUACUGACGCUCAUGCACGAAAGCGUGGGUAGCAAACAGGAUUAGAUACCCUGGUAGUCCACGCCCUAAACGAUGUCAACUAGGUGUUGGGUGGGUAAAACCAUUUAGUACCGGAGCUAACGCGUGAAGUUGACCGCCUGGGGAGUACGGCCGCAAGGUUA
This 371-nucleotide ribosomal RNA is filed under the name uncultured organism. RNAcentral's name for it is "bacterial SSU rRNA". It matches the Rfam family "Bacterial small subunit ribosomal RNA", at positions 527 to 896 of the family's 1533-position model. The record is from RNAcentral.